RNAcentral lists this ribosomal RNA (497 nucleotides) under uncultured bacterium. RNAcentral describes it as "partial 16S ribosomal RNA". It matches the Rfam family "Bacterial small subunit ribosomal RNA", at positions 28 to 507 of the family's 1533-position model. The record is from RNAcentral.
GAUGAACGCUGGCGGCGUGCCUAAUACUUGCAAGUCGAGCGAACAGACGAGUAGCUUGCUCCUCUGACGUUAGCGGCGGACGGGUGAGUAACACGUGGAUAACCUACCUAUAAGACUGGGAUAACUUCGGGAAACCGGAGCUAAUACCGGAUAAUAUCUUGAACCGCAUGGUUCAAUAGUGAAAGACGGUUUUGCUGUCACUUAUAGAUGGAUCCGCGCCGCAUUAGCUAGUUGGUAAGGUAACGGCUUACCAAGGCAACGAUGCGUAGCCGACCUGAGAGGGUGAACGGCAACACUGGAACUGAGACACGGUCCAGACUCAUACGGGAGGCAGCAGUAGGGAAUCUUCCGAAAUGGGCGAAAGCCUGACGGAGCAACGCCGCGUGAGUGAUGAAGGUCUUAGGAUCGUAAAACUCUGUUAUUAGGGAAGAACAAAUGUGUAAGUAACUAUGCACGUCUUGACGGUACCUAAUCAGAAAGCCACGGAUAACUACGUG